GUCCAGGGUGGGCCUGGGUCCAUCUACUUAAAUAAGGACUCUGGCUGCUCUGUUUAUGGGGCAUUUGAAGCAUGUGAGGAAGCACGUCCCCAGGAGCACUGGUAGAACAGACAGAAGGCAUGCAUGGCAACAACAAAGGUUGCUCUGGCGUUUGCCAAGGUUUAUUGUGUCACUGUAAUUACAGGUUGAGCACAGCUACAUUCCUCAGCACAAUAAAGUUGUCGGAGCCCACUCCCGAGGCAAUUGUUUCCCAUUAGGGAAAUGUUGGGUUUCCUUUAGUGAUGAAAGGCAAUAACACAACAUGUAAUUCCUGUAGCUGUAAUAUAAUGCGUCCAGAACCAAAACACAACCCUCCCGGGAGCCAUAUCUACAGAGUGCCCAGAAAGGAAGUGAGGUCUCAGAAGCCACUGGAUCCUGGAACACCUCACUCUUGCUGAUUAAAUUCUGCAGCCUGCAGAGAACCCCCUUGUCUCUGGCAAGCACCUUCUGAACACAAAAUAGAAAAGACCUCAAGCAGAGCUGUGGGGAGAAAAAUGUUCUGCCUUCCAGUGAUGUGAGAAAAGAAAACACAGUGAAGGCCAGGGUAAAGGAGAAGAUGAAGUUGUUUUGAUUUUCCCACAGGGGAUAUUCAGCAGAUGAAUUUGCCUAUUUUCUUUCUCCUAAACAGCCAGGCUACCUUGAGAGAAGCAAGAGAUCCUCUCCCUUUUGCCAAAAUCUGCCUCCCCCAGGAGACUGUGCUUUGCUCAUACACAUCAUUAGAAAUUAUCCUUAAAUAUUAAAAAAUAAAUGAAUAUUCAAUGAACGACUAAAGUUUCUCUAGUUUGAAAGCAAAGCCUGUAAACCUUUAUAUAUUCGAUUAUACAAGGAAGAUGAAAAUGAACUGAUUCAUGGGCAACCCUAAUUAAUAAUGAAGAAGGCCAGAAAAGUGGCCCUGUCAUUGGUGGUGGCUGGAAG
Molecule: long non-coding RNA, 954 nt
Filed under: Homo sapiens (human)
Lineage: Eukaryota; Metazoa; Chordata; Mammalia; Primates; Hominidae
Description: HSALNT0353562
Source: RNAcentral